CACGUAGGGUGCAAGCGUUGUCCGGAAUUAUUGGGCGUAAAGGGCUCGUAGGCGGUCCGUCACGUCGGGAGUGAAAACUCGGGGCUCAACCCCGAGCCUGCUUUCGAUACGGGCGGACUAGAGGUAGGUAGGGGAGAACGGAAUUCCUGGUGUAGCGGUGGAAUGCGCAGAUAUCAGGAGGAACACCGAUGGCGAAGGCAGGUCUCUGGGCAUUAACUGACGCUGAGGAGCGAAAGCAUGGGGAGCGAACAGG
This 253-nucleotide ribosomal RNA is filed under the name uncultured bacterium. RNAcentral describes it as "partial 16S ribosomal RNA". It matches the Rfam family "Bacterial small subunit ribosomal RNA", at positions 524 to 776 of the family's 1533-position model. The record is from RNAcentral.